This is a long non-coding RNA of Trichomycterus rosablanca, 456 nucleotides long. RefSeq lists it as uncharacterized. Lineage: Eukaryota; Metazoa; Chordata; Actinopteri; Siluriformes; Trichomycteridae. The transcript is spliced from 4 exons. The record is from RefSeq and is a predicted model, not a curated record.
CUGAAGGACACGUGAGAUGUUCGGUCUCUUCGCCCCCUCUCGGGUUCGCUCUGCCCUUUCCUCUCUCUCGGCUUCACAAAAUCACUGAGCUGCACUGCGACACUGGAGGAACGUCUCAGCGGCUUUCACACAGACUGGAGACCAUGGAAACAUGCAAACAAGAAAAAGCAGAAAGAGCAAAAGAUCGGAAGGCUGUGGGUCAGAAGUGUGUAGGCGCUGUUUUACACUCUGGUACUGACGGGCAGACACUGGCACAGGUAGGAAGCAGCGCUGAUCUCCACAUCAUCAAGCCACGCCUUUCAUUCUCACCAAUACUGAACUGCUGCCUGGUCAGGUGGAUCAUCAAAAGUACAACAGCACAGAGUACAGUGUCUCCAUGAAUGAAUAGGAAUUAGGAAGCUGAGGGAACUUCAUGACAGCGGGGCUGAAAUGCUGUUUAUUUCAGGUGCAGUGUGA